Molecule: ribosomal RNA, 1372 nt
Filed under: uncultured bacterium
Lineage: Bacteria
Description: bacterial SSU rRNA
Rfam family: Bacterial small subunit ribosomal RNA
Source: RNAcentral
GAUGAACGCUGGCGGCGUGCCUAAUACAUGCAAGUCGAGCGAACGGACGAGAAGCUUGCUUCUCUGAUGUUAGCGGCGGACGGGUGAGUAACACGUGGAUAACCUACCUAUAAGACUGGGAUAACUUCGGGAAACCGGAGCUAAUACCGGAUAAUAUUUUGAACCGCAUGGUUCAAAAGUGAAAGACGGUCUUGCUGUCACUUAUAGAUGGAUCCGCGCUGCAUUAGCUAGUUGGUAAGGUAACGGCUUACCAAGGCAACGAUGCAUAGCCGACCUGAGAGGGUGAUCGGCCACACUGGAACUGAGACACGGUCCAGACUCCUACGGGAGGCAGCAGUAGGGAAUCUUCCGCAAUGGGCGAAAGCCUGACGGAGCAACGCCGCGUGAGUGAUGAAGGUCUUCGGAUCGUAAAACUCUGUUAUUAGGGAAGAACAUAUGUGUAAGUAACUGUGCACAUCUUGACGGUACCUAAUCAGAAAGCCACGGCUAACUACGUGCCAGCAGCCGCGGUAAUACGUAGGUGGCAAGCGUUAUCCGGAAUUAUUGGGCGUAAAGCGCGCGUAGGCGGUUUUUUAAGUCUGAUGUGAAAGCCCACGGCUCAACCGUGGAGGGUCAUUGGAAACUGGAAAACUUGAGUGCAGAAGAGGAAAGUGGAAUUCCAUGUGUAGCGGUGAAAUGCGCAGAGAUAUGGAGGAACACCAGUGGCGAAGGCGACUUUCUGGUCUGUAACUGACGCUGAUGUGCGAAAGCGUGGGGAUCAAACAGGAUUAGAUACCCUGGUAGUCCACGCCGUAAACGAUGAGUGCUAAGUGUUAGGGGGUUUCCGCCCCUUAGUGCUGCAGCUAACGCAUUAAGCACUCCGCCUGGGGAGUACGACCGCAAGGUUGAAACUCAAAGGAAUUGACGGGGACCCGCACAAGCGGUGGAGCAUGUGGUUUAAUUCGAAGCAACGCGAAGAACCUUACCAAAUCUUGACAUCCUUUGACAACUCUAGAGAUAGAGCUUUCCCCUUCGGGGGACAAAGUGAUAGGUGGUGCAUGGUUGUCGUCAGCUCGUGUCGUGAGAUGUUGGGUUAAGUCCCGCAACGAGCGCAACCCUUAAGCUUAGUUGCCAUCAUUAAGUUGGGCACUCUAAGUUGACUGCCGGUGACAAACCGGAGGAAGGUGGGGAUGACGUCAAAUCAUCAUGCCCCUUAUGAUUUGGGCUACACACGUGCUACAAUGGACAAUACAAAGGGCAGCGAAACCGCGAGGUCAAGCAAAUCCCAUAAAGUUGUUCUCAGUUCGGAUUGUAGUCUGCAACUCGACUACAUGAAGCUGGAAUCGCUAGUAAUCGUAGAUCAGCAUGCCACGGUGAAUACGUUCCCGGGUCU